This 403-nucleotide ribosomal RNA is filed under the name uncultured prokaryote. RNAcentral's name for it is "partial 16S ribosomal RNA". The record is from RNAcentral.
CCCUAUGGGGUGCAGCAGGCCGACGGUGAUCGUCUUGAGGGAGUCGUCGUUGAGCACGACCAGGGGCCAGAUAAGGUCGUUCCAGGUGCCUUGGAUGCUGAGGAUGGCAACGGUGGAGAGCAUCGGUUUGCACAACGGGACGGCUACAUUCGUGAACGUGCGGAAGUCGCCCGCGCCGUCGAUGCGGGCGGCGUCGAACAGGUCGUUGGGAAUCGCGGCGAAGAAAGUGCGGAGCAGGAAGAUGCUCAUGACUUGUCCGCCCGCUAUGUAGGGCAGGAUGAGCGCCCAGUAGGUGUCGAUCAGCCCCAGCGACUUCACGAUCAUAAACAAGGGGACAAGCCCGAGCACGCCCGGAAUCAUCAUGAGCGAGAUGAUCGCGUAGAACAGGAAUUGGCGGGAGGGC